AGCAUGGGGAAGUGGGAUGAGCUCGACUUUUCUCAACGGUAUACAUGGAGUGCUGCUUAGUGCUCUUAGAUAGGGUAUGAGAUAUUUGCAUAACCCUUGUUCUUUUCAACAAAGGCUGGCCAACAAACAAUCACUUUUUCCCCAUGGAUGUAACAUGCAAGUCCUGGCCAUAUCAUGAAAACUAACAAAAAGCUGUCCUGAGCUCCAACACCUGCUUAAAAUUAAGCCAUUUCUCUCAAUUUUCCAUGGCAAAGCCCAUUAAUGUAAGGUAAGGAACACUGACCAGGCAUUGAAUAACCUUGCUGGUACAUACUGCUUAAACAUCUUUGACACAGUUGAUGUUGUUUGUGCAUGUUUGUGCAAACACAGAUGUACACAAAGCUUGUGCCAAGGCUCAUUGCAAGAUCAGAAAGGAGAAAACAUCUUAGCAUUGGCUUUAGAAGAUGUUGGUCACUUGAAGACUGAUACAGACACAGACGUUCUGUCUUUGGAAGAGAUCCUGUCCGGUGAGACAACAUUGCCAUGGCAACAAUCACACAGUGACUCUGUCAGUUUUCACACAAAAACAAGGGCAAUCGAUGACAUCAUGAUAGUAAAGAGACUGGAAGAGGAAAAGAGGAUCCUUGUUGAUGGAUCAUCAUUGGAAAUCUCUGUCAUCCUAUGAAGACACUCUAAAGGAGUUUCCAGCCUAUUAUCGGGAGGUAAAUUUAAAAGUCCAAGAGGUCUCCAGAGCAUCAUCCUCAGAGAGCUGCAGCACCAACAGAUGAAGCUGCAGGCAACAGAGUAUUAUCUACAGCAGGGGUGCCCAAAGUUGGUCCUGGAGGGCCGGCAUCCUGCAUGUUUUAGUUCUCUCCCUUGUUUAACACACCUGCAUCAAAUGAUGGCUCGUAAGAAGCCUAAGAUGAACACUGACAAGCUGAAAAGGUUGUUACUACCACCAGGGAGAGAACUAAAACAUGCAGGAUGCCGGGCCACUUGGACCGACUUUGGACACCCCUGAUCUACAGACUUUAUCAGGAGCAGAGAGUGUUACCUUUGACGACGACUUCAGUAGUGACUGAUAAUAGUCUGUAAUCAUUUGUGAAUGUACUGCUGCAAAGAUCUACACUGUCACACCAUUGUAGAUCUUUAGAUCUUUGCAGCAGUACAUCUUUGUCAGUGACACAAACACACACACACACACGCACACACGCACACAUACACACACACACACACACACACACACACACACUGUAUAUAUAUAUUAGUUUGCUCAUAAGUCACAAAGAGACAAUACAAUUUGUUCUUGUGCUUUCAUGUUUCCAAAUGGAUAGUGUUUUAUCUUAUUGAUUCUUUUUUUUUAAAUAGUUAAUUUGUUUGUGUCUUUGUACUUUCUAAAAGGGCUUACUAGAGUUGUAAUUGCUUCCGCAGGCAUGUCAUUGAGUGUGUUUCUUUUUCACUUAUGUUUCUGCACAUCUAGUGAAUUUUCUAGGUAAUAAGAGAAAUUGUAGUUAAUUUAAUAGUUUGUUACUAUUUUUACUUGAAGUGGAAUAAUAACACUUGUGCUUAUGUUGAGCAGUUAAAAAUGGCAACAAUACUACGUUAAGAGGUCUCAGUGAUUCUGUAGUAACUAGCAUAACCAAGACAUCUUUUUGGAUCUUCUACUUUUAUUUAUUUUUUUUAUUAAUAUGUGCAGCUCUGACUUAUUUCUUAAUCCAAAGAAUGCACAAAGUGUGUACUGGUGGAACAAUUUCUUAUCCUUGCUCAAUUGAAUGCAGUUCAGUUUGUCUGUCAAUG
RNA transcript from Poecilia reticulata (guppy), 1776 nucleotides. RefSeq lists it as uncharacterized. NCBI's taxonomy places the organism in Eukaryota, Metazoa, Chordata, Actinopteri, Cyprinodontiformes, Poeciliidae. The record is from RefSeq and is a predicted model, not a curated record.